CACAGCAACUUGCUCUCCUGGCUGGCUUCCCGCACCACCUGCAGCGCCACCCCGCGGCCGCCCGUGGCCUGGGACUGUGAAUAUCCUGGACUUGUCAGGGUAGAUGGGCUAGGAUUCUAGAGCCUAGAAUCAAUGCAAUACUCCCUGGACCACUGCUUUGCUGUUGUUAAUCCUGCUGACCUCAACUUUCUAGCUCCUUCCUGUUUAGGCUCUCUGGGAUUAGUGCUUCAGAAGCUAUGCUUCCCUGAAGUCAAAUGAGACCAGUUUAGUAUGCGUAUAUGGGAUUCCAGUUUGUGCCUCUUCAACCAUCCAAAGCCACAUCUGUCUACAUACCCUACAAGGUGUGACCUCUGCAAGGCCAAAAUCAGCACAGAUAACUAAAAGGCAGCUGUCUACAGAAGAGAAUUAAUAAUGGUGUCUGCUGAGGGAGGAUACACUGAUGCCAAAUCAGACCCUCAAAGAUCUUCUAAACCUAUGCUUCCCCUAUCAGAUCUUACUAUUACUGCUGUUAAUGAUAAUAAUUAAAGCUCAUUCUUGC
This is a long non-coding RNA of Homo sapiens (human), 538 nucleotides long. Ensembl annotates it as NRP2 antisense RNA 1. Its record names the gene NRP2-AS1. NCBI's taxonomy places the organism in Eukaryota, Metazoa, Chordata, Mammalia, Primates, Hominidae. The record is from Ensembl.